CCUACGGGUGGCAGCAGUGGGGGAUAUUGGUCAAUGGGCGAAACCCUGAACCAGCAACGCCGCGUGAGGGAAGACGGCCUUCGGGUUGUAAACCUAAGUGAUCAGGGAUGAAACAAAUUACAGUACCUGAAAAGCAAGCUCCGGCUAACUUCGUCCAAGCAGCCGCGGUAACACGUAGAGAGCAAGCGUCGUCCGGAUUUACUGGGUGUAAAGGGUGUUUAGGGGGGAACAUAAGUCAGGCGUGAAAUACCGGGGCUCAACUCCGGGGCUGCGCUUGAAACUGUGUUUCUGGAGUGAAGUAGAGGCGGGCGGAAUGCCUGGUGUAGCGGUGGAAUGCGUAGAUAUUAGGAGGAACACCGGUGGCGAAGGCGGCCUGCUGGGCUGUAACUGACGCUGAUGCACGAAAGCAUGGGGAGCAAACAGGAUUAGAUACCCGGGUAGUC
Molecule: ribosomal RNA, 443 nt
Filed under: uncultured bacterium
Lineage: Bacteria
Description: partial 16S ribosomal RNA
Rfam family: Bacterial small subunit ribosomal RNA
Source: RNAcentral